UUUCUCUUCUUCUCUCUCGAAAACAGACGCCACAACCACCACCAUCGUUUCUCAACCUUUUUUCAGCCGUCGUUAAUGGUGAUGAUGCUGGUGGUGGAGGAUAUCAAAUAUCUAUUAAUUAAUUAAUAUGAAUGAUUCUUCUUACUGGAUUUCGCAAAUCUCUGUUUCAUUAGUUGAUUAUGGUGGUGGCGGUGGCGGCGGCGCUAAUGGAGGAGCAUAUGUUUCGUUAGUUGUAGAUUCAAUCAAAGUUACUAACUGGAUGUUAAGCCAAAAUUGCAUCCAGUUGAUGUGAGAGGGUCGGAACUUUGUUCAGAGCAUGUACAAAGGACAAAUAAUGGUCAAAUUACUUCUUUCUCGAGUGGCGGUGCCAUGAAUUUCCAGGGAGAAGAAAAUGACUCCAGAACUGUACUUGUUACUAAUGUAAGUUCAUUUCCUUUGAUUAGUGUGAAAUUGAACUGAUCCUGUGGUGCAGUGGUAGCACGACUGACUCCACGUCAAAAGAUGCGUGUUCGAUUCACGUCAGGUUCACUAAUUUUAGUAUAUCAAAUUUUUGGAUCAACUUUGGAUGUUGACAACAAAUUUUGGGAUCAACUUCGGCUGUUGACUCCAUUCAGUGGGAUCAACUUUAGUUGUUGACUCCAUUCUGGGAUCAACUUCCAUUGUUGACACAAAAAAGCUAGAGUAUUUGUCAGUUAUUGUGUGAACUUUGGUUGUUUACUCUAUUUACCGGGAUCAACUUCCUUUAU
Long non-coding RNA from Papaver somniferum (opium poppy), 746 nucleotides. RefSeq lists it as uncharacterized. Lineage: Eukaryota; Viridiplantae; Streptophyta; Magnoliopsida; Ranunculales; Papaveraceae. The transcript has 3 exons. The record is from RefSeq and is a predicted model, not a curated record.